Molecule: non-coding RNA, 22 nt
Filed under: Arabidopsis thaliana (thale cress)
Lineage: Eukaryota; Viridiplantae; Streptophyta; Magnoliopsida; Brassicales; Brassicaceae
Source: RNAcentral
ACUAGAUGAAUGUGGUAGAUGC